RNAcentral lists this transfer RNA (84 nucleotides) under alpha proteobacterium HIMB114. Its description in RNAcentral is "tRNA-Leu". It matches the Rfam family "tRNA". Rfam says of the family: Transfer RNA (tRNA) molecules are approximately 80 nucleotides in length. Their secondary structure includes four short double-helical elements and three loops (D, anti-codon, and T loops). Further hydrogen bonds mediate the characteristic L-shaped molecular structure. tRNAs have two regions of fundamental functional importance: the anti-codon, which is responsible for specific mRNA codon recognition, and the 3' end, to which the tRNAs corresponding amino acid is attached (by aminoacyl-tRNA synthetases). tRNAs cope with the degeneracy of the genetic code in two manners: having more than one tRNA (with a specific anti-codon) for a particular amino acid; and 'wobble' base-pairing, i.e. permitting non-standard base-pairing at the 3rd anti-codon position. Lineage: Bacteria; Pseudomonadati; Pseudomonadota; Alphaproteobacteria; Candidatus Pelagibacterales; Candidatus Pelagibacteraceae. The record is from RNAcentral. RNAcentral also lists the same sequence under 6 other names.
GCGGGAGUGGUGGAAUGGUAGACACGCUAGUCUUAGGAACUAGUUCGGCAACGAGUGAAGGUUCAAGUCCUUUCUCCCGCACCA